Actinia tenebrosa (Australian red waratah sea anemone) is the source of this 1418-nucleotide long non-coding RNA. The record is from RefSeq and is a predicted model, not a curated record. Lineage: Eukaryota; Metazoa; Cnidaria; Anthozoa; Actiniaria; Actiniidae.
GUAGGUCUGUAGGCUAUGUCCUCUAGUAAUCUAAUCCGGCAGACGGUAUUUGCUUAUAAGCCAACCGCGUAGCACCAUAAAAGUGGGCAUCUCCCCUCUCCCACGCCUUCCACAGGAAACCCAGAGAAGAAAAGACAGAAUGAGAGAUGCUUGACGUAGAGGAGAAUAAAUACUUAUAUUUCUUUAUGCUGACCUUUGUAAUUGGAAUCCAACAAACUUUGAUCUUGUGCUGUCAAGACUUUCUAGUUCUUUAAGUCCACCCAAGCAAGUCUGGCAAGAAAAUGAGGAGCAUUGCCAGAACAAAACUUCAGAACCAUUUCAAAGAGGAUGAUAGCCAGUGGGUCUUUAUCUACAAUAGGUUGAUCUGUUGAUGUGUUGUUUGAAUCAUUAUUACCAGUGUAUAAGGCUGAUUUGGCAUUUAAGACAAAUGGAAUGGACACACAGGUGGACAGACAGACAAUCAGAAGGACAGAUAGAGAGACAUAAAAAAUACAGACAGACGGACAUAAAACAGACAUGCAUGCAUACAGAUAGACAUAGUCAAAUUAAACAGGACAGAGAGCAAGGCAGAUAUAUUAAAAGACAAUCGAACACCAGACCUGUUAAUGAGAAAAAACAGACAAGCAAAGGACAGACGGACACAAUAAAACAGGACAAGACAGACAUAUAUGCAUGAAGUCAGACCAUGUAACAGACACAAAUACAUAUUGCAUACUUAGUUCCUUUUGAAAUGUCUGUUUAAUGCCCUUGAUUUCAUCAGUAUCGGAUUCAUGUGGUAUUCUCAUUCUUUCAAUCAUGGUAUACAAUAUAUUGAUAUAGACCCUAUAAGGAAAGGUUAAUAAGGUUAAUCAUCAUAAAACAAUGGCAUAACAGUUACAAAUGCCUUCAUAUAUGCCAUUUUUACUAACAGUACAAUACCUCAAGUUAGUACUAUCCGCUAUUGAUAUUGAAGGCUUCUGGAGUGCAGCUGUGGCAGCAUGGGAAUUCCUAAAAAUAAUUAUAAUUACAAGUUAUUAAACAAUUAUGCUCCUAAAGAGUUGGUUAGGAUUUUUCCUUGAUUGCAGGAUUGUAUCCAGGUUCUCUGGUUUUCCUCCCUCCGAAAAACCUAAAGAGCUAAAUUCCACAUUGAUCUGUAGUCAUGUUUUGGCUAUGAUCAGCCCUGAGGUUGUUUCAUUGCUUGAUCUGUGAACUAGUCAUGCCUUAACUUUGAUAAACACAGAGGUUGUUUCAGGGUACCUAUUACAACAUUUGAUUAGUUGAAUAUGAAAACUAUUCUCACUCUAUUUCCAUUUGUAAAAGCUGAGUUACAAUAGUAAAGGCUUCCAACUUGUAAAGGAGUAUGACAUUGUGGUUUGACUGAAAGAACAAGAAGAAAAACCAUCAAUGUACAUUUGAUAAAUAAAAAUGUGUUAAACAUA